UAACACGUAGGUAAUCUGCCGUACGAUUGGGGAUAGCCCAUGGAAACAUGGGGUAAUACCGAAUACGACCCUUAGGGGGGAAAGGCGCUUCGGCGCCGUCGUACGAUGAGCCUGCGGCGCAUUAGUUAGUUGGUGGGGUAACGGCCUACCAAGGCGACGAUGCGUAGCCGACCUGAGAGGGUGAUCGGCCACACUGGGACUGAGAUACGGCCCAGACUCCUACGGGAGGCAGCAGCUAAGAAUCUUCCGCAAUGGACGAAAGUCUGACGGAGCGACGCCGCGUGGGCGAGGAAGGCCGAAAGGUUGUAAAGCCCUUUUCU
Molecule: ribosomal RNA, 320 nt
Filed under: uncultured bacterium
Lineage: Bacteria
Description: bacterial SSU rRNA
Rfam family: Bacterial small subunit ribosomal RNA
Source: RNAcentral